CACCAUGUGGCCAACUGGUAACGCUUUUGUCUUUCACCCACAAGGUCCCGGGUUCAAUUCCACCUGGUGG
This is a non-coding RNA of Caenorhabditis brenneri, 70 nucleotides long. Lineage: Eukaryota; Metazoa; Nematoda; Chromadorea; Rhabditida; Rhabditidae. The record is from the annotation of a GenBank genome assembly.